This 1786-nucleotide unclassified non-coding RNA is filed under the name Gigantopelta aegis. RNAcentral's name for it is "raf homolog serine/threonine-protein kinase-like, transcript variant X2". The record is from RNAcentral. Lineage: Eukaryota; Metazoa; Mollusca; Gastropoda; Neomphalida; Peltospiridae.
CAUGUUUGAAGCACAAUGGUGGUUGAUACACUGACACGUGUUCAAAUUAAAUUAAAGGAAUUAUACAAGUUAUGUUAUACUAUUGUUAUAUUCUAUUGUAGACAAGACAGAGGAAGGAGGGCAGACGAUGCAAUCUUCAGAAGAAGAACAGGCGAGCAACACUGGUCCAAGGUCCUUCAAGUCAACAGAGACUGCACCGUCCCGUUCAAUCUUCUUGGGAAAUCCUUGAAACACGGUAACGGUUGCGUCUGCUGCUCCCCGACCUUCACCCCUAAACGCCCGAAACGUGCCUUUCGAUCCCACAGUCUGGGCCCCACUGGGGGCCUAUGGAACAGUGUCACGAACCGUGUCCGCAAAUGGAUUAAUUCGAAACGCAAGUACGAAAUUUCCCCGACGGACAACGCCAUCGCCGCCGACAGACUACUGAAACGUGACGAACAGACGACUGCAGAGAGUGACGUCAGAGUCACGUCGAGUCAUCAUCAUCAUCACCAUCAUCAUCAUCCUCAGCUACAUCGGGACCACCGUCAGCAGGAUAACGUCACGCAAGUGGGGCUUCCUAUGUGUGAAGUAGAGACUGUCGUGGACGUGUCUCCCGUUGACAAACGUUUCAAUGAGGUGGAAGGGGCGCCGGGAGGGUUUGGGUGUGGUCAGGGAGUACAACUCACCGCCCAUCUCCUUCAGCCGUCGGGGAUCUCAAACAGACAAUUGUUCAGGGCGUCGCUGUACAAGCACAGGGAACGGAAGUUGUCCGGUAACUCCAUCGGCAAACAACCCCUAACCGGAACUACGAGUUGUCCCCCCAACUCCGCCAUGAAGUAUAAGGAUGCACAUAUACGGCAAUGGAGAUCGUGUCCAUCGUUGAGGAGAGGAGACAGUAUAGAAGGUGAUGGCUUUGAGGAUGUGGAUUUACCCUUCCUUAGAGAAAUGGAAUUUAAAAGGACAGCUGCUGAGGGUAAAACGUCAGUGGAUGACUUCUCCAUUUCGUUCAGCGAUCUCCAGUUACUCGAGUGUUUGCGGACAGGACGACGCUGUAGAAUAUACAGGGGUCGUUGGCAUGGUGAUGUGACGGUGCACCUGUUCGGCGGGAUGCAGUCAAGCGAGACGAGCACGUUCUGGUGUAACCUGACCAAACUCUACCGCAUACGUCACGAAAACGUCAUCCUCUUCAUGGGUGCCUGCACAGACCCGCCAAACAUGGCCGUCAUAACCAGCAUGCCGAAGGGGAUGUCUCUGUAUGAGAACAUCUACACUACGAAGGAUAAGCUGAACAUGCACACGAAGGUGCAGAUCCUGCAGCAGAUCUCUCUCGGGAUGGGCUACCUGCACGCCAAGGGAAUCGUUCUCAGAAAACUCAACACCAAGAACGUCUUUCUCGGCUCCAAGGUGAAGAUCAGUGUCAUGGACUGGGGCAUGUCCGAUAUUCGACACAACAGGUCAGAUUACGCCAGUGUUCCAAGAGGUCAUCUGACGUACGUUGCCCCGGAGAUUCUGUGUACCAUGAAGACAAUCCCUCCACGUCUGGUUGCUACCACGCCCUACACAUAUGAAUCAGACGUCUUUGCCUUUGGGUUGGACACUGAUGUACGAAGUGAUGAAUGGUGACUUCCCGUACAUCGACAUCCCCGUCGAGAGCCUCAUCUGGCAGGUGGGACAGGGCAGACGACAGUGUCUCGAGAAGCUGCCCUGCUCCGCUGGUCUCAAGACCAUCAUUGAAGACUGCUGGGCUCAGGAGUCGAUCUAUCGACCAGACUUCCUGGAAAUAAGCAAAGACAUCCACAAAAAC